CGGCCACAUUGGGACUGAGACACGGCCCAAACUCCUACGGGAGGCAGCAGUGGGGAAUAUUGGGCAAUGGAGGAAACUCUGACCCAGCAACGCCGCGUGGAGGAAGAAGGUUUUCGGAUCGUAAACUCCUGUCCUUGGAGACGAGUAGAAGACGGUAUCCAAGGAGGAAGCCCCGGCUAACUACGUGCCAGCAGCCGCGGUAAUACGUAGGGGGCAAGCGUUGUCCGGAAUAAUUGGGCGUAAAGGGCGCGUAGGCGGCUCGGUAAGUCUGGAGUGAAAGUCCUGCUUUUAAGGUGGGAAUUGCUUUGGAUACUGUCGGGCUUGAGUGCAGGAGAGGUUAGUGGAAUUCCCAGUGUAGCGGUGAAAUGCGUAGAGAUUGGGAGGAACACCAGUGGCGAAGGCGACUAACUGGACUGUAACUGACGCUGAGGCGCGAAAGUGUGGGGAGCAAACAGGAUUAGAUACCCUGGUAGUCCACACUGUA
RNAcentral lists this ribosomal RNA (484 nucleotides) under uncultured bacterium. RNAcentral describes it as "bacterial SSU rRNA". It matches the Rfam family "Bacterial small subunit ribosomal RNA", at positions 305 to 804 of the family's 1533-position model. The record is from RNAcentral.